GACGAACGCUGGCGGCGUGCCUAAUACAUGCAAGUCGAACGCAGUGGGGACGGGUGAGUAACACGUUGGUAACCUCCCAUCAGAGGGGAUAACACUUGGAAACAGGUGCUAAACCGAUACUGAUGGAUGGACCCGCGGUGCAUUAGCUAGUGGGUGGGGUAACGGCUCACCAAGGCCACGAUGCAUAGCGGACCUGAGAGGGGGAUCGGCAACACUGGGACGGAGACCGGGCCAAGACUCCAACGGGAGGAAGCAGUAGGGAAUCUUCGGCAAUGGACGAAAGUCUGACCGAGCAACGCCGCGGGAGGGAAGAAGGUUUUCGGAUCGUAAAACUCUGUUGUUAGAGAAGCGGUAGCUAACCAGAAAGCCACGGCUAACUACGUGCCAGCAGCCGCGGUAAUAC
This 403-nucleotide ribosomal RNA is filed under the name uncultured bacterium. Its description in RNAcentral is "partial 16S ribosomal RNA". It matches the Rfam family "Bacterial small subunit ribosomal RNA", at positions 28 to 526 of the family's 1533-position model. The record is from RNAcentral.